AUGGAAAUCACUUUAGGAGAAGCUACUAAACUCCUAGAUAAUAUUAUGGUUAAUUAUUCUCAAUGGCACACUGAAAGAUCUACUAAUAAGAAAGUGCAUGCGAUAGAAGAAAUUAAUGUUUUGAGUGGUAAGAUGGAUGAACUUAUGAAAUUAUUUGCUAAUAAAAGUGUUUCUUCUGAUCCUAAUGAUAUGCCUUUGUAUACUUUGAUUGAGAAUAAUAAUGAAUCUCUGGAUGUGAAUUUUGUUGGUAGGAAUAAUUUUGGUAACAACGUGUAUAGAGGAAACUUUAAUCCUAGGCCGUAUCCUAGUAAUUCCUCUAAUAAUUAUGGUAAAUCCUACACCAAUUCUUAUGGAAAUUUUAAUAAGAUGCCCUCUGAUUUUGAAUCUAAUAUUAAGGAAUUUAUUAUUUCGCAAAAGAAUUUCAAUGCUUUGAUUGAAGAAAAAUUGCUUAAGAUUGAUGAGUUGGCUAGGAACGUUGAUAGAAUUUCUCUUGAUGUUGAUUCUUUGAAACUUCGAUCUAUUCCACCUAAGCAUGAUAUCAAUGAUUCUCUCAAAGCCAUGAGAAUUUCCAUUGAUGAGUGCAAAGAAAGAACCGCUAGGAUGCGUGCUAAGAAAGAUUGCUUUAUAAAAGCGUGUUCUUCUAGUUUCCAUGAUAAUAAAGAUGAAGAUCUAAAAGUUAUUGAUGUGUCCCCUAUUAAAUCUUUGUUUUGUAAUAUGAAUCUUGAUAAUGAUGGGACUGAAUAUGAUCCACCUUUACCUAGAAGACGUUCCAAAAAUUCUGAGUCUUUAGAUCUUGAUGCUAAAAUUGUUAAAAGUGGGAUUGAAGAAGUCAAAACUUUAAAUAUUAAUGAACCCACUAUUUUGGAUUUCAAGGAAUUUAAUUAUGAUAAUUGUUCUUUGAUAGAUUGUAUUUCCUUGUUGCAAUCCGUGCUAAAUUCUCCUCAUGCUUAUAGUGAAAAUAAAGCCUUUACCAAACAUAUCGUUGAUGCUUUGAUGCAAUCUUAUGAAGAAAAACUUGAGUUGGAAGUUUCUAUCCCUAGAAAACUUUAUGAUGAGUGGGAACCUACUAUUAAAAUUAAGAUUAAAGAUCAUGAAUGCUAUGCUUUGUGUGAUUUGGGUGCUAGUGUUUCCAUGAUUCCAAAGACUUUGUGUGAUUUGCUAGGUUUCCGUGAUUUUGAUGAUUGCUCUUUAAACUUGCACCCUGCGGAUUCCACUAUGAAGAAACCUAUGGGAAGAAUUAAUGAUGUUCUUAUUGUUGCAAAUAGGAAUUAUGUGCCCGUGGAUUUUAUUGUUCUUGACAUACAUUGCAAUCCUUCAUGUCCUAUUAUUCUUGGUAGACCUUUCCUUAGAACGAUUGGUGCAAUUAUUGAUAUGAAGGAAGGGAAUAUUAAAUUCCAAUUUCCGUUAAGGAAAGGCAUGGAACACUUCCUUAGAAAGAAAAUUAAAUUACCUUAUGAAUCUAUUAUGAGAGCCACUUAUGGAUUGCCUUCCAUAGAUGGCAAUACCUAG
This 1509-nucleotide ribosomal RNA is filed under the name Triticum aestivum (bread wheat). Its description in RNAcentral is "partial small subunit ribosomal RNA". The record is from RNAcentral. Lineage: Eukaryota; Viridiplantae; Streptophyta; Magnoliopsida; Poales; Poaceae.